UGGGUCGACUGGACGGUCGCGUGGCGGGCAACCGCACCGAGGAACGUCCGGGCUCCACAGGGCAGGGCGGUGGGUAACACCCACCCGGAGUGAUCCGCGAGACAGUGCCACAGAGAGCAGACCGCCCCCGGUUCGCCGGGGGUAAGGGUGAAAGGGUGGUGUAAGAGACCACCGGGGGACAUGGUGACAUGUCCCGCCAGGUAAACCUCGCCCGGAGCAAGGUCAGACAGAGGAUGUUGACGCGGCUCGCCGAGUCCUCGGGUAGACCGCUGGAGCGGCACGGCAACGUGUCGCCGAGAGAGAUGGCCGUCGAAGGGGCGAAGAACCCCGGAACAGAACCCGGCGUACAGGUCGGCCCAUUCG
RNAcentral lists this RNase P RNA (363 nucleotides) under Microbacterium galbinum. Its description in RNAcentral is "RNase P RNA component class A". It matches the Rfam family "Bacterial RNase P class A". Rfam says of the family: Ribonuclease P (RNase P) is a ubiquitous endoribonuclease, found in archaea, bacteria and eukarya as well as chloroplasts and mitochondria. Its best characterised activity is the generation of mature 5'-ends of tRNAs by cleaving the 5'-leader elements of precursor-tRNAs. Cellular RNase Ps are ribonucleoproteins. The record is from RNAcentral. Lineage: Bacteria; Bacillati; Actinomycetota; Actinomycetes; Micrococcales; Microbacteriaceae. RNAcentral also lists the same sequence under 3 other names.